This 484-nucleotide ribosomal RNA is filed under the name uncultured bacterium. Its description in RNAcentral is "partial 16S ribosomal RNA". It matches the Rfam family "Bacterial small subunit ribosomal RNA", at positions 30 to 507 of the family's 1533-position model. The record is from RNAcentral.
AUUGAACGCUGGCGGCAGGCCUAACACAUGCAAGUCGAGCGGAUGAAGGGAGCUUGCUCCUGGUUCCCGCGGCGGACGGGGGAGUAAUGCCUAGGAAUCUGCUUGGUAGUGGGGGAUAACGUCCGGAAACGGGCGCUAAUACCGCAUACUUCCUGCGGGUGAAAGGUGGGGAUCUUCGGACCUCACGCUCUCGUAGGGACCUAGUCCGGAUUAGCUAGUUGGUGGGGUAAAGGCCUACCAAGCCGAGGAUCCGUAACUGGCCUGAGAGGAUGAUCGGUCACACUGGAACUGAGACACGGUCCAGACUCCUACGGGAGGCAGCAGUGGGGAAUAUUGGACAAUGGGCGAAAGCCUGAUCCAGCCAUGCCGCGUGUGUGAAGAAGGUCUUCGGAUUGUAAAGCACUUUAAGUUGGGAGGAAGGGCAGUAAGUUAAUACCUUGCUGUUUUGACGUUACCAACAGAAUAAGCACCGGCUAACUUCGUG